GUAGUGGUAGGUAGGUGCUGGAGCUUUCACUGGAGGUGGGGGUGAUUUGUAGUAGUAUGGUAGAGGUGGUGAAGGAGAUGGUGGUGGUGGGGAUUUGUAGUAGUAUGGUGGAGGUGGAGAGUGGACUGGUGGUGGUGGGGAUUUGUAGUAGUAUGGUGGGGGUGGAGAGUGGACUGGUGGUGGUGGGGACUUGUAAUAGUAUGGUGGAGGUGGUGAGGGAGAAGGUGGUGGUGGAGACUUGUAGUAGUAUGGUGGUGGGGACUUGUAAUAGUAUGGUGGAGGAGAUGGCGAUGGUGGUGGAGGAGAUUUGUAGAUGUAUGGGGGCUCCUCUACGUGUUUUGGUGGUGGUGGGGACUUGUAAUAGUAUGGUGGAGGUGGUGAGGGAGAAGGUGGUGGUGGAGACUUGUAGUAGUAUGGUGGUGGUGGGGAAUGAACUGGUGGUGGUGGGGACUUGUAAUAGUAUGGUGGUGGAGGAGAUGGCGAUGGUGGUGGAGGAGAUUUGUAGAUGUAUGGGGGCUUCUCUACGUGUUUUGGUGGUGGUGGAGACUUGUAAUAGUAUGGUGGAGGUGGUGAGGGAGAAGGUGGUGGUGGAGACUUGUAGUAGUAUGGUGGGGGUGGGGAGUGGACUGGUGGUGGUGGAGACUUGUAGUAGUAUGGUGGUGGUGGAGAAUGAACUGGUGGUGGUGGGGACUUGUAAUAGUAUGGUGGUGGAGGAGAUGGCGAUGGUGGUGGAGGAGAUUUGUAGAUGUAUGGGGGCUCCUCUACAUGUUUCGGUGGUGGUGGGGACUUGUAGUAGUAUGGUGGAGGAGAUGGUGAUGGUGGUGGAGGAGAUUUGUAAUAGUAUGGUGGAGGAGGAGAUGGCGAUGGUGGUGGGGGAGACUUGUAGUAGUAUGGGGGCUCCUCUACAUGUUUCGGCGGUGGUGGGGACUUGUAGUAGUAUGGUGGAUGAGGAGAUGGCGAUGGUGGUGGGGGUGAUUUGUAAUAGUAUGGUGGGGGUGGUGAUGGAGAUGGUGGUGGUGGGGACUUGUAGUAGUAUGGUGGAGGAGGAGAUGGUGAUGGUGGUGGAGGAGAUUUGUAGUAGUAUGGGGGCUCUUCUACAUGUUUUGGUGGUGGUGGGGAUUUGUAGUAAUAUGGUGGUGGAGGAGAUGGCGAUGGUGGAGGAGGAGAUUUGUAGUAGUAUGGAGGUUGCUCCUCAUGUUUUGGUGGUGGUGGGGACUUGUAGUAGUAUGGUGGUGGUGGAGAGUGAACUGGUGGUGGUGGGGACUUGUAAUAGUAUGGUGGAGGAGGAGAUGGUGAUGGUGGUGGAGGAGACUUGUAGUAGUACGGGGGCUGCUCUACAUGCUUUGGUGGUGGUGGAGACUUGUAGACAUAAGUGGGAGGUGGUGGUGAUUUGUAGUAGUACACAGGUGGUGGAGGUGACUUGUAAACAUAAGUCGGCGAUGGUGGAGGUGGUGACUUGUAAACAUAAGUGGGAGCCGGUGGAGGUGGAGACUUAUAGUAGUAUGGAGGUUGUUCCACAUGUUUUGGUGGUGGUGGAGACUUGUAGUAGUACACAGGAGGUGGAGGUGACUUGUAAACAUAAGUGGGAGCCGGUGGAGGUGGAGACUUAUAGUAGUAUGGAGGCUGUUCCACAUGCUUUGGUGGUGGUGGAGACUUGUAGUAGUACGCAGGAGGUGGAGGUGACUUGUAAACAUAAGUUGGUGAUGGUGGAGGUGGUGACUUGUAAACAUAAGUGGGAGCCGGUGGAGGUGGAGACUUAUAAUAGUACGGUGGUGGCUUGUACGGAUGAGUCGGAGGCUUAGGAGUGUACUUUUCACACUUCUUGUAAGGUUUCUUUGAACCAUAACCAAAUGGCUUAGCUCUAAGCACAACCUCGUACUUGUCCUCUGACUUGACCUUGAGCACAGCACCCUCGAUGCCAUCAUGUACACUCAUGGGUAUGUUGCAUGAUGAACCCUUAGGUGGGGCAUGAAGCUUGGCAAUGCAUGCUUUGGCUCCAUAUUUGCCAUAAUCAAACCCAUCAACAGUGACAGCAAAUUUGCCAUUGUUUUUGGUCUUUCCAUAGACAGUGAUUUCCUUUUCACCCUCGUUGCAAGUCACUUCCACAGUAGCACCUGCUCCAUGUGCAAUAAUUGAAAAUUUAAUUUCUUUUUUGCUAAAAAGUCAAUCAAAAGAUGCUUUUUUCUAUUUAGACAUCAACCAUUUUAUAACUAAUUCUGUCUUCCCAAGAAUUCAUUUAAUCAUAAUUAUAAAAAAAAAAAACAAUUUUUCCAUAGACAUGACUUAUGUGUUCACUACUUAUAUUGACUUGUGCAUCCAUAUAUGGUGCAGCCCUUAAUAAGGAAAGCUAUAAUUUUAGAGUAAUUUAUAACAAUAGUUUUUAUCAUUAAAUUAUUAUGAAUUGAAUAUUAAAUUAUAUAAAAUCUUACAUAGACAGAGAAUACAGUCAUAAUUUAUUUUCAAGCAUAUAAGAAACAAAAACAGACUUUGUUUAUUUUUAUAAUCUAUUUUUUAAUUUUUUUUAAAAUUUCCAGAAGAAUAACUUCAGAUUCCUUUAAUUAUUAUGUUUACGUCUAUUUGAAUUAAAAUAUUCAUAAACAUCUUAUUUUAACCUCUAAAUCACAUGACAAAGUUCCACAAAAAUUUGAAACUAUGAAAUAAAUAAAACAUACGAAAUUGAAAAUAAAUAAAUUAAUAAAUGCAUUAAUGUAUGAAUUAAUUUACCUUCGAGAUGUUUCUUGCCGUGUGAUUUCUCUGGGUAGCUUGAGUCAUAGCAUCUGUAGCAGUAAACUUUUCCGACCACCCUGACUAUGAGCGGGUGUGGGUGGGGGUGGGGGUGGGGGUGAGGGUGGGGGUGGGGGUAGUAAGGAGUUGGUGGUGGAGGAGAAUGGUAGUAGUAGGGAGGAGACUUCAUUGGUGGUGGUGGAGAUUUGUAGUAGUAUGGUGGUGAGACGUAAUGUGGGGGUGGUGGUGGAGAUUUGUAGUAGUAAGGUGGUGGAGGAGAUGGUGAAGGUGGUGGUGGAGACUUGUAGUAGUAAGGUGGUGGUGGUGAGGGUGAUGGAGGUGGUGGAGACUUGUAGUAGUAUGGGGGUUGUUCUUCAUGCUUUGGUGGUGGUGGUGGGGACUUGUAGUAGUAAGGAGGUGGUGGAGAUGGUGAAGGUGGUGGUGGAGAUUUAUAGUAGUAAGGUGGUGGUGGUGAGGGUGAUGGAGGUGGUGGAGACUUGUAGUAGUAUGGGGGUUGUUCUUCAUGCUUUGGUGGUGGUGGUGGAGAUUUGUAGUAGUAUGGAGGAGGUGGUGAUGGAGACGGAGGUGGUGGGGACUUGUAGUAGUAAGGAGGAGGUGGUGAUGGAGAUGGAGGAGGAGGUGACUUGUAGUAGUAUGGUGGUUGUUCUUCAUGCUUUGGUGGUGGUGGUGGGGACUUGUAGUAGUAUGGAGGUGGUGGUGAUGGUGAUGGAGGUGGUGGAGAUUUAUACUCAUAAGGAGGUGGAGGAGAAGGCGAUGGAGGUGGUGGAGACUUGUAUUCAUAAGGCUUCUCCUUCGGUGGUGGUGGUGGAGACUUGUACUCAUAAGGCUUCUCCUUCGGUGGUGGUGGUGGAGACUUGUAUUCAUAAGGCUUCUCCUCAUGCUUUGGUGGAGGUGGUGGAGACUUGUACACGUAAGGAGGUGGUGGAGAAG
This 3675-nucleotide long non-coding RNA is filed under the name Gossypium barbadense (sea-island cotton). RNAcentral's name for it is "long non-coding RNA (GBAR_LNC023459)". The record is from RNAcentral. Lineage: Eukaryota; Viridiplantae; Streptophyta; Magnoliopsida; Malvales; Malvaceae.